AUAACGUCGAGAAAUCGGCGCUAAUACCGUAUAAUGCAGCGGCAUCGCAUGAUGAUGUUGUUAAAGUUCUUGAAACGCCUGUGGAUGAGCUUGUAUCUGAUUAGCUUGUUGGUGAGGUAAUGGCUCACCAAGGCUAUGAUCAGUAGCUGGUCUGAGAGGAUGAUCAGCCACAUUGGAACUGAGACACGGUCCAG
RNAcentral lists this ribosomal RNA (194 nucleotides) under uncultured bacterium. RNAcentral describes it as "partial 16S ribosomal RNA". It matches the Rfam family "Bacterial small subunit ribosomal RNA", at positions 143 to 334 of the family's 1533-position model. The record is from RNAcentral.